ACACCGAUGGUGAAGCGGUUAUCAUGCUUGCCUUCCAUGCGGGUUGUACUGACGCUCUGUAAGCAAGCGGCAGGGGUUCGACUCCCCUUUGGUGUA
Molecule: non-coding RNA, 96 nt
Organism: Hymenopellis radicata
Lineage: Eukaryota; Fungi; Basidiomycota; Agaricomycetes; Agaricales; Physalacriaceae
Source: the annotation of a GenBank genome assembly